UACGGAGGGGGCCAGCGUUGUUCGGAAUCAUUGGGCGUAAAGGGCGCGUAGGCGGCCGAUCAAGUCGGAGGUGAAAUCCCUCGGCUCAACUGAGGAAUUGCCUCCGAUACGGUUCGGCUUGAGUCCUGGAGAGGGUAGUGGAAUUCCCAGUGUAGCGGUGAAAUGCGUAGAGACUGGGAAGAACACCAGUGGCGAAGGCGGCUACCUGGACAGGUACUGACGCUGAAGCGCGAAAGCUAGGGGAGCAAACAGG
This 253-nucleotide ribosomal RNA is filed under the name uncultured bacterium. Its description in RNAcentral is "partial 16S ribosomal RNA". It matches the Rfam family "Bacterial small subunit ribosomal RNA", at positions 524 to 776 of the family's 1533-position model. The record is from RNAcentral.